This 105-nucleotide small nuclear RNA is filed under the name Carlito syrichta (Philippine tarsier). The record is from RNAcentral. Lineage: Eukaryota; Metazoa; Chordata; Mammalia; Primates; Tarsiidae.
AUGCUUGCUUCAGUGGCAUAUACACUGCAGCUGGAAUAAUGCAGAGAUGAGUAUGGCCUCUGUGCAAGGGGUAAUACUUACAUUCAUGAAGCAUUUCAUACUUAA